Cedecea davisae DSM 4568 is the source of this 112-nucleotide non-coding RNA. The record is from Rfam. Lineage: Bacteria; Pseudomonadati; Pseudomonadota; Gammaproteobacteria; Enterobacterales; Enterobacteriaceae.
GGUAUUCCUUAUCUGUCUAAUACGUUGAUUAUCUGGAACCUGUCCCAUUGUGCUCUUGGUAAAAAACACAAUAAGACAGGUUCUGCGUUUAGUUGCCGCGCUCUAAAGUUGG